Molecule: ribosomal RNA, 254 nt
Filed under: uncultured bacterium
Lineage: Bacteria
Description: partial 16S ribosomal RNA
Rfam family: Bacterial small subunit ribosomal RNA
Source: RNAcentral
UACGGGGGGAGCAAGCGUUGUUCGGAUUUACUGGGCGUAAAGGGCGCGUAGGCGGCCACCGCAAGUCGGUUGUGAAAUCUCUGGGCUUAACCCAGAAAGGUCAACCGAUACUGCGGGGCUAGAGUGCAGAAGGGGCAACUGGAAUUCUCGGUGUAGCGGUGAAAUGCGUAGAUAUCGAGAGGAACACCUGCGGCGAAGGCGGCUGCCUGGGCCAGUUCUGACGCUGAGGCGCGAAAGCGUGGGGAGCAAACAGG